This 807-nucleotide ribosomal RNA is filed under the name uncultured Pelagibacteraceae bacterium. RNAcentral's name for it is "bacterial SSU rRNA". It matches the Rfam family "Bacterial small subunit ribosomal RNA", at positions 34 to 889 of the family's 1533-position model. Lineage: Bacteria; Pseudomonadati; Pseudomonadota; Alphaproteobacteria; Candidatus Pelagibacterales; Candidatus Pelagibacteraceae. The record is from RNAcentral.
CGCUGGCGGCACGCCUAACACAUGCAAGUCGAACGAAGUAGCAAUACUUAGUGGCAGACGGGUGAGUAACAUGUAGGUAUCUACCCUUUGGCCUGGAAUAACACGAGGAAACUUGUGCUAAUACCGGAUAAGUCUUUACGGAGAAAGCUUUAUGCACCAUUGGAUGAGCCUGCACUUGAUUAGUUUGUUGGUGGGGUAAUGGCCUACCAAGACUGUGAUCAAUAGCUGAUUUGAGAGGAUGAUCAGCCACAUUGGGACUGAGACACGGCCCAAACUCCUACGGGAGGCAGCAGUGGGGAAUCUUGCACAAUGGAGGAAACUCUGAUGCAGCGAUGCCGCGUGAGUGAAGAAGGCCUUUGGGUUGUAAAGCUCUUUCGUCGGGGAAGAAAAUGACUGUACCCGAAUAAGAAGGUCCGGCUAACUUCGUGCCAGCAGCCGCGGUAAUACGAAGGGACCUAGCGUAGUUCGGAAUUACUGGGCUUAAAGAGUUCGUAGGUGGUUGAAAAAGUUAGUGGUGAAAUCCCAGAGCUUAACUCUGGAACUGCCAUUAAAACUUUUCAGCUAGAGUAUGAUAGAGGAAAGCAGAAUUUCUAGUGUAGAGGUGAAAUUCGUAGAUAUUAGAAAGAAUACCAAUUGCGAAGGCAGCUUUCUGGAUCAUUACUGACACUGAGGAACGAAAGCAUGGGUAGCGAAGAGGAUUAGAUACCCUCGUAGUCCAUGCCGUAAACGAUGUGUGUUAGACGUUGGAAAUUUAUUUUCAGUGUCGCAGCGAAAGCGAUAAACACACCGCCUGGGGAGUACGACCGC